CCUACGGGAGGCAGCAGUCGAGAAUCAUUCACAAUGGGGGAAACCCUGAUGGUGCGACGCCGCGUGGGGGAAUGAAGGUCUUCGGAUUGUAAACCCCUGUCAUGUGGGAGCAAAUUAAAAAGAUAGUACCACACGAGGAAGAGACGGCUAACUCUGUGCCAGCAGCCGCGGUAAUACAGAGGUCUCAAGCGUUGUUCGGAAUCACUGGGCGUAAAGCGUGCGUAGGCUGUUUCGUAAGUCGUGUGUGAAAGGCGCGGGCUCAACCCGCGGACUGCACAUGAUACUGCGAGACUAGAGUAAUGGAGGGGGAACCGGAAUUCUCGGUGUAGCAGUGAAAUGCGUAGAUAUCGAGAGGAACACUCGUGGCGAAGGCGGGUUCCUGGACAGUAACUGACGCUGAGGCACGAAGGCCAGGGGAGCGAAAGGGAUUAGAUACCCCAGUAGUC
RNAcentral lists this ribosomal RNA (446 nucleotides) under uncultured bacterium. RNAcentral's name for it is "partial 16S ribosomal RNA". It matches the Rfam family "Bacterial small subunit ribosomal RNA", at positions 338 to 795 of the family's 1533-position model. The record is from RNAcentral.